UCGAGGGGUACAGGGAGCUUGCUCUGCUGACGACCGGCGCACGGGUGCGUAACGCGUAUACAAUCUACCUAUCACUGAGGGAUAGCCCGAAGAAAUUUGGAUUAACACCUCAUAGUAUUAUAGAGCCGCAUGGUUUUAUAAUUAAAGGUUACGGUGAUAGAUGAGUAUGCGUCCUAUUAGCUAGAUGGAGAGGUAACGGCUCCCCAUGGCUACGAUAGGUAGGGGUCCUGAGAGGGAGAUCCCCCACACUGGUACUGAGACACGGACCAGACUCCUACGGGAGGCAGCAGUGAGGAAUAUUGGACAAUGGAGGAAACUCUGAUCCAGCCAUGCCGCGUGCAGGAAGACGGCCCUAUGGGUUGUAAACUGCUUUUGUACGGGAAGAAACCUACCCUCGUGAGGGUAGCUGACGGUACCGUAAGAAUAAGCACCGGCUAACUCCGUGCCAGCAGCCGCGGUAAUACGGAGGGUGCAAGCGUUAUCCGGAAUCAUUGGGUUUAAAGGGUCCGUAGGCGGGCUGAUAAGUCAGUGGUGAAAUGCAGGGGCUCAACUCCGGCACUGCCAUUGAUACUGUUAGUCUUGAAUUAUUGUGAAGUGGUUAGAAUAUGUAGUGUAGCGGUGAAAUGCUUAGAUAUUACAUAGAAUACCGAUUGCGAAGGCAGAUCACUAACAAUAUAUUGACGCUGAUGGACGAAAGCGUGGGUAGCGAACAGGAUUAGAUACCCUGGUAGUCCACGCCGUA
RNAcentral lists this ribosomal RNA (742 nucleotides) under Flavobacteriaceae bacterium BAL328. RNAcentral describes it as "bacterial SSU rRNA". It matches the Rfam family "Bacterial small subunit ribosomal RNA", at positions 62 to 804 of the family's 1533-position model. The record is from RNAcentral. Lineage: Bacteria; Pseudomonadati; Bacteroidota; Flavobacteriia; Flavobacteriales; Flavobacteriaceae.